CUAAAUUGUUGUUUAUUUAUUUUUAGCUAAAACUUUAUAUUUAAAAUUUCUGUUCUUUUUUUUUGUAGAUCUUUGGAGGUUAGGAAGUCAAUAAUUUUCUUUCUUAGUGAAAUCUUUAAGAGAGUUUUUUUCAAGAAAGGAUAAAUUUAGUGCCAGCAUUUGCGGUUAAACUAAAGUUUUUAAAAAUAAUUAUUAAGGUAAAUAGUUUAUAUGAAUAGAGUUAUAUAUUGUUAGGUGAAAUUUAUUAAAUUAAUUAUUCUUAAAUAUUAUAAGAAAAUGAGAUUAUUGAACUAGGAUUAGAUACCCUACUACACUCAUAAUUAUUCUCCUUGAAAGAUUAAAGAUAAAAUUUGAAGAUUUGGCGGCUUUUUUAUUUAGAGGAACUUGUCUAUUAAAUUGAUAAUCCUCAAUAGUUUCGUUUUUAAAUUAAUUUUGUAUACCAUCAUUUUAAUAAUUUUAAGAUAAAUAAUUAUUUAAAAUUUUUAAGAGAAAUUAGAUCUAGGUGCAGAUAUAUUUAAAAUUAGAUUAGUUACAAUAAUUUUUUUUACAGUAAUAGAUUAAAUUUUAGUAAAAGGUGGAUUUAAAUGUAAUAUAAGUAUAUAUAUGAAAAUUAAUGAUUUAGUGUACAAAUUGCCCGUCACUCUCUUUGAGAUAAGUCGAAACAAAGUAGAAAUACCUGAAGGUAUUUCU
Molecule: ribosomal RNA, 690 nt
Filed under: Metacrangonyx sp. 1 MDMBR-2012
Lineage: Eukaryota; Metazoa; Arthropoda; Malacostraca; Amphipoda; Metacrangonyctidae
Description: 12S ribosomal RNA
Source: RNAcentral